Non-coding RNA from Oncorhynchus mykiss (rainbow trout), 870 nucleotides. The record is from RefSeq and is a predicted model, not a curated record. Lineage: Eukaryota; Metazoa; Chordata; Actinopteri; Salmoniformes; Salmonidae.
UUAUUUUCACCCCUCACGUUCUAACUCACUUUCUCCUUCUCCCUCACCUUCACCCCCCUCAUCUCCAUUUGUUUAUAAACAAAUUGUAGUAUUUAAAACCUUAAUGUCAGAGUAUUUUCCCUUAGGAUCAAUCCUUAUUCGAUUUGUCAUACAUUUUGAAUGAGCUCCCCCCCUCUAGAACGGACAUAAAUUACCUUUUACGUUCGCUAUAGAGCCGAGUGGACCAGGACAACUGCCCCAUCGUCGACGUGAUAAAUGUCCACAGGGGCAACGUCCUAAACAGUAGCCUGUAUGCGUUUCAACGCAUAAACUUGAAUGCAGGGGCUAAGAUGGAUGUUGCAUUCGUGUAUGUUGAGUCCAAGGGGUCCCUCCAGGGAGUAUUACAGGCUCCUCAUGGGGGACAUCAGAGACUCGGCCAUCUUCGAUGGUCCGGAAGGAGCGAAACGGCUGUACCUUGAUGUUCAUGGUCUUUACAAUAAAGACCUGUACGUGAUAAAGACAGCGGUGUCCCUGUCGCCACGGUGAUAUGAGUCUAUUCCGAAGACAUCAACAAACUCUCCCUCAGACACUCCAUCCAGAGAGCAGCUACUCAGGUAUGGAGAGAACAGAGGAUGAUUUUACCAGAGGCUCAAGAGAACCCAGAGAGGAUUCAUCUUCACUAGUUUUGUUUCAGUGUGAGGACGUAUACAAUGCAAAACAUUAUAUUGUACUUCGCUACAAAUGGCCCCCAAAGGUAUUUUUUAUCACAUUAAAGAUCUUGUGUUUCAGGGCUACAUUAAACAGAUGCAUCACUUGUGAAUUACAUAAAUAUUAAACAUCAAUAGGAUCAAUUAAACAAGUUGUGUUGCAACAAUGAAAACUAUCUUGAAU